Non-coding RNA from Podarcis lilfordi (Lilford's wall lizard), 159 nucleotides. NCBI's taxonomy places the organism in Eukaryota, Metazoa, Chordata, Lepidosauria, Squamata, Lacertidae. The record is from the annotation of a GenBank genome assembly.
CUGCCUAUCGGAGCAGCCUCCCAACUCCUACUUGCGUGCAAGCAGGAGUGGGGCGGGGAUCUCUCAGGCAAUGGAAACCUCCCUUCCCAGCUGAGGGUUCCCCGCCCCCUCCUGCUUGCACGCAAGUAGGAAUGGGAUUGGGGCUGCUCUGAUAGGAAG